UACGUAGGUGGCAAGCGUUGUCCGGAAUUAUUGGGCGUAAAGCCCGCGCAGGCGGUCCUUUAAGUCUGAUGUGAAAGCCCACGGCUCAACCGUGGAGGGUCAUUGGAAACUGGGGGACUUGAGUACAGAAGAGAAGAGUGGAAUUCCACGUGUAGCGGUGAAAUGCGUAGAGAUGUGGAGGAACACCAGUGGCGAAGGCGACUCUUUGGUCUGUAACUGACGCUGAGGCGCGAAAGCGUGGGGAGCAAACAGG
This 253-nucleotide ribosomal RNA is filed under the name uncultured bacterium. RNAcentral describes it as "partial 16S ribosomal RNA". It matches the Rfam family "Bacterial small subunit ribosomal RNA", at positions 524 to 776 of the family's 1533-position model. The record is from RNAcentral.